AGGAUGAACGCUGGCGGCGUGCUUAACACAUGCAAGUCGAACGAUGAAGCAGAGCUUGCUCUGUGGAUUAGUGGCGAACGGGUGAGUAACACGUGAGUAACCUGCCCCAGACUCUGGGAUAAGCACUGGAAACGGUGUCUAAUACCGGAUACGAGCUUCAGCCGCAUGGCUAGGAGCUGGAAAGAAUUUCGGUCUGGGAUGGACUCGCGGCCUAUCAGCUAGUUGGUGAGGUAAUGGCCCACCAAGGCGACGACGGGUAGCCGGCCUGAGAGGGUGACCGGCCACACUGGGACUGAGACACGGCCCAGACUCCUACGGGAGGCAGCAGUGGGGAAUAUUGCACAAUGGGCGCAAGCCUGAUGCAGCAACGCCGCGUGAGGGAUGACGGCCUUCGGGUUGUAAACCUCUUUAGUAGGAAGAAGCGAAAGUGACGGUACCUGCAGAAAAGCACCGGCUAACACGUGCCAGCAGCCGCGGUAAU
RNAcentral lists this ribosomal RNA (481 nucleotides) under uncultured bacterium. Its description in RNAcentral is "SSU rRNA". It matches the Rfam family "Bacterial small subunit ribosomal RNA", at positions 26 to 524 of the family's 1533-position model. The record is from RNAcentral.